RNAcentral lists this ribosomal RNA (1168 nucleotides) under Guptibacillus hwajinpoensis. Its description in RNAcentral is "bacterial SSU rRNA". It matches the Rfam family "Bacterial small subunit ribosomal RNA", at positions 299 to 1464 of the family's 1533-position model. The record is from RNAcentral. Lineage: Bacteria; Bacillati; Bacillota; Bacilli; Caryophanales; Guptibacillaceae.
GGUGAUCCCCACACUGGGAUUGAGCACGGCCCAGAUUCUACGGGAGGCAGCAGUAGGGAUCUUCCGCAAUGGACGAAAGUCUGACGGAGCAACGCCGCGUGAGUGACGAAGCCUUCGGGUCGUAAAGUUCUGUUGUUAGGGAAGAACAAGUACCGUUCGAAUAGGGCGGUACCUUGACGGUACCUAACCAGAAAGCCACGGCUAACUACGUGCCAGCAGCCGCGGUAAUACGUAGGUGGCAAGCGUUGUCCGGAAUUAUUGGGCGUAAAGCGCGCGCAGGCGGUCUUUUAAGUCUGAUGUGAAAGCCCACGGCUCAACCGUGGAGGGUCAUUGGAAACUGGAGGACUUGAGUGCAGAAGAGGAGAGUGGAAUUCCACGUGUAGCGGUGAAAUGCGUAGAUAUGUGGAGGAACACCAGUGGCGAAGGCGGCUCUCUGGUCUGUAACUGACGCUGAGGCGCGAAAGCGUGGGGAGCAAACAGGAUUAGAUACCCUGGUAGUCCACGCCGUAAACGAUGAGUGCUAGGUGUUGGGGGGUUCCACCCUCAGUGCUGAAGUUAACACAUUAAGCACUCCGCCUGGGGAGUACGACCGCAAGGUUGAAACUCAAAGGAAUUGACGGGGGCCCGCACAAGCAGUGGAGCAUGUGGUUUAAUUCGAAGCAACGCGAAGAACCUUACCAGGUCUUGACAUCCUCUGACAAUCCUGGAGACAGGACGUUCCCCUUCGGGGGACAGAGUGACAGGUGGUGCAUGGUUGUCGUCAGCUCGUGUCGUGAGAUGUUGGGUUAAGUCCCGCAACGAGCGCAACCCUUGAUCUUAGUUGCCAGCAUUCAGUUGGGCACUCUAAGGUGACUGCCGGUGACAAACCGGAGGAAGGUGGGGAUGACGUCAAAUCAUCAUGCCCCUUAUGACCUGGGCUACACACGUGCUACAAUGGACGGUACAAAGGGCAGCAACACCGCGAGGUGAAGCGAAUCCCAUAAAGCCGUUCUCAGUUCGGAUUGCAGGCUGCAACUCGCCUGCAUGAAGCCGGAAUUGCUAGUAAUCGCGGAUCAGCAUGCCGCGGUGAAUACGUUCCCGGGCCUUGUACACACCGCCCGUCACACCACGAGAGUUUGUAACACCCGAAGUCGGUGGGGUAACCUUUAUGAGCCAGCCGCCGAAUGUG